RNAcentral lists this ribosomal RNA (444 nucleotides) under uncultured bacterium. RNAcentral's name for it is "bacterial SSU rRNA". It matches the Rfam family "Bacterial small subunit ribosomal RNA", at positions 77 to 507 of the family's 1533-position model. The record is from RNAcentral.
AUUUCAACAUUGCAAUGAGUGGCGAACGGGUGAGUAACACGUGGGAAACCUACCUCUUAGCAGGGGAUAACAUUUGGAAAACAAAUGCUAAUACCGUAUAAUAAUUAAAACCGCAUGGUUUAAGUUUAAAAGAUGGUCUUGCUAUCACUAAGAGAUGGUCCCGCGGUGUAUUAGUUAGUUGGUGAGGUAAUGGCUCACCAAGACAAUGAUACAUAGCCGAGUUGAGAGACUGACCGGCCACAAUGGGACUGAGACACGGCCCAUACUCCUACGGGAGGCAGCAGUAGGGAAUCUUCCACAAUGGACGAAAGUCUGAUGGAGCAACGCCGCGUGUGUGAUGAAGGGUUUCGGCUCGUAAAACACUGUUGUAAGAGAAGAAUGACAUUGAGAGUAACUGUUCAAUGUGUGACGGUAUCUUACCAGAAAGGAACGGCUAAAUACGUG